Long non-coding RNA from Oxyura jamaicensis (ruddy duck), 1050 nucleotides. RefSeq lists it as uncharacterized. NCBI's taxonomy places the organism in Eukaryota, Metazoa, Chordata, Aves, Anseriformes, Anatidae. The transcript is spliced from 4 exons. The record is from RefSeq and is a predicted model, not a curated record.
GAGCGUGAGCUGUGCAGUGAUGCUGCUUUUGGUGGGGGCCUUAAUCCUGCCCAGGCUGCAAGCUGGGGCGGCGCUUCUGGAGCCCGUCGGUGCUCCAAGCGAGGGCGGCCUCCUCAAAUGCAUGCAGAAUGGCAAAGGAUGGUGAAAGGGAGCUCCAUGGAGCCAAACCUCUCUUCCCAGAGCCGUUGCUGAAGGUAAUUGUGUUCUGCGCAGGUCCCAUCCACCUGCUGCCAGGUGCCGUGUCUCAGGCCGAGCCAUAUGAAAACAGAAUGGUUUAAAAGUCACAUUUUUGUGAAACAAUGGAGAAACACAUUAAUCCUGGAUGAGAAGUUAUCCUACUAAGAAGAAAUGAAUCUAGUCAAGUGCCAUGACUUCUGGAGACACAGGGGAGAGCCUUGUUGUGUGCUGGGGCCGCUGUGCACACCACUGCCAGAAGACGAGCUGGGCAGGCUCCGCGGGGUGCUGCCGCCCUCCUGAACGCCUCUGCACAACCCGGGUACUUUUGUAUGAAGCCUGCAAAAGCACAGUUAUUUAACCCAAUAUAUAGCCACAGUACCCGAAGAUGCACACCCUGUUUGGGCUGCCCUGGUGUGUGCAGGCUGUUAUGUGGGGACUGCGAUGGGGACUGGCCUGCAAGCGGUGGCACGGGGAGUGAAUGGACCUGUUAAUUCAUUAGUCCGAACGCAGCGCAGCAUCUUCCCAUUCUGUUGUUUGGCUUGAGAAACUAAAGUCCAUUUUACAGCUGAAUUUUAUGUGAUGCUGGAGGAGGUAUUCUUGAGAUAAAAAAUAUUAUCCACCAGAGACUGAUAUGAGAUGAUAAAAGCCAUUUUAUUUAUGGUAUUUUCAGCUAUCUUGUCAGUAUAAUGUAUAGCAUCAUGGGAUUUAUUUUAACCUUGCUCUAAGAAGUGGAUUUUCCCUAUACCUGUCCACUGAGCCAUGGCUCUCGUGUGCUGAUUUUUGAUGCUGUGAUUUAUGUUCAGCUUUCUGGGUCACAAUAGCUGUGGCAACACACUGCAUAUUACGCCUCUCCUAGAAGUAUAACCAUGAAGA